AACGAACGCUGGCGGCAGGCUUAACACAUGCAAGUCGAGCGGGCCCUUCGGGGUCAGCGGCAGACGGGUGAGUAACGCGUGGGAAUCUACCCAUCUCUGCGGAACAACUCCGGGAAACUGGAGCUAAUACCGCAUACGCCCUUUUGGGGCAAGAUUUAUCGGGGAUGGAUGAGCCCCCGUUGGUUUAGCUAGUUGGUGGGGUAAAGGCCUACCAAGGCGACGAUCCAUAGCUGGUCUGAGAGGAUGAUCAGCCACAUUGGGACUGGGACACGGCCCAAACUCCUACGGGAGGCAGCAGUGGGGAAUAUUGGACAAUGGGCGCAAGCCUGAUCCAGCCAUGCCGCGUGAGUGAUGAAGGCCUUAGGGUUGUAAAGCUCUUUCACCGAUGAAGAUAAUGACGGUAGUCGGAGAAGAAGCCCCGGCUAACUUCGUGCCAGCAGCCGCCGUAA
This 449-nucleotide ribosomal RNA is filed under the name uncultured bacterium. RNAcentral's name for it is "partial 16S ribosomal RNA". It matches the Rfam family "Bacterial small subunit ribosomal RNA", at positions 29 to 523 of the family's 1533-position model. The record is from RNAcentral.